UUGAUUUAAGACUAAAAUUUCACCAAAGUCUCAAAUUAGGUUGAAAAUUUAACUCAAAAUCGAGCUCCAAAAUUCCCCCCUCGAUUUCUAUCUACCGCUCCCAAAUUUUCACCAAAUUUUUUCGCUCCCUCUUACUUUUCGCUCCAAAUCACUUAAAGUUUUCGAAUCUUAAUUCCCCUUGAAUCUGUUCUAUAACAAAGGCCUCCAACAGAGAAUGAUUUUUACUCUCUCUGAUGAGUAGGGGUUCCUUCUGCAUCUCUCUCAGAUUCUUCCUCUCCUAUCUAUUCACAGCUACUCGCAUCUUCUCUUGCUGCUAGAGAUUGUUUAUUUGCCAAGGUUUCUUGGAUUGAGUUUGCUGGUUUUCAGAACUGGUGAUAGGUUUCUUAGUUUGCUAAUGGAAACAAUUGCAAUAUCUAACAGUACGCCUAACUAUAUUAACUUAUCAGACAACCAACACUUGGUUGACGUCUUGUGCCAUUGCCUUGAACCAUUUUGUUGUUCCUGCUGAUAUAAGGUUUUCUUCCAUUUCUUAUGAAGGAUUAUGAUCUACUUAGUGUUUUGUAUUUCAGAAAGUGGCUAUUUGCAUGCUAAGAUGAUUAGCAUUUAUUAGAAUGGAAGUGAAAGAGCUGUAGUAUUCUUGUUUUAGCUUGGCCUCAAUAAUCGCAUGAUUAAUAUCCCACAAUGUAUCUUUAACAUGCUGAGUGCACUUUCGUGAGUAAAUUAAGAGAUUGUUUCGAGCCUACUAACUGGAGAUCCUAUAAUUGUUUCGUUUCAGUCAAUAAUUGCCUUGAUCAAGUUUUUGUGUGGAGCUGAUGCAACCAACACGACAUGGUUAUUGCCUGAGGUGGCCAUGUUUUCGAUCAAAACAGGAGAACUACUAUUGCUCACAUUGGUUUCCGUUGGACGGAUUCUGCAAAGGCUGGAACUUUCAAAAUUUUGAGCUUCAGUUUUGACUCCGGGUAUUGCAACAAUUGGCAGCUCGUUCUUCUUCCUAGGUUGUCGUUUGGGAGAUCGUAUGCUUGUCCAAUAUACAUCUGGUGUGGGAACUGCAGCUUUGACUUCUGAUCAUGUGAAGGAAGAGGAUUAUAUUGAGAAAACAUGGGAGAGACAGUUUUAUCAUGAAGACACGCACUACAGCACAUAAGUGAUGAUAAUGGCGAAAGACUUGGCAGAAUUUAUGUUCAUAAGCGAUGAAGUUGCUGGAAGAUAAGAACGAGGCAGAAAAGCGAAGCCUUAAAGCAAAGUUGGAUGCGAAAAGACAAAGAACUAGCACUGGAGAUUGCGUGAUUCAAGAAAUUAUAGAUGCAAGUGCCAUGUUGUGCGAUAGAGGUGAUGUACAUGGAGAUGUUUCAAGAGGUGAGAUGAUUAAGUGGCCAAAAGCUUAUGUAACUCUUGUAGAAGAGUGACCAAAUCCGUGUUGGUGAAGUGAUGGUAGAUUGAAUUCAGUUUUAGCUAGAAUUUAUCUUGCAAUUUGCAUCCGGAGAUUUGAUUUCUAGAAUGUUAUUUAAGGUAAUUAAUAUAAAUUUAAUUUCAAGCUGUUUCAAA
Molecule: long non-coding RNA, 1545 nt
Organism: Papaver somniferum (opium poppy)
Lineage: Eukaryota; Viridiplantae; Streptophyta; Magnoliopsida; Ranunculales; Papaveraceae
Exons: 7
Source: RefSeq, a predicted model, not a curated record